This 766-nucleotide long non-coding RNA is filed under the name Marmota monax (woodchuck). Lineage: Eukaryota; Metazoa; Chordata; Mammalia; Rodentia; Sciuridae. The record is from RNAcentral.
GAAUGAUUAAUAAAGUAGAAUUUUACCAUACAACUCAGUUAUUUCCACAGAAUAUCCACCAAUAUUUUACUACCCUAAUCAUUCUACAAUAAAAUUUGGCAUCUUCCUUAAAUGAAUGAAGUAUAUAAAUGCUUUGCCAGUCAAUGUAAAACCCCUAGAGGUGAUAGAUGUCUUGGAUUGAUCUUCAAAAAACUGAUAAAAGACAGUUAUAUCCAGAUGCUACUUCCUAUAGAAAGUCCAAAGCCAGGAGGACUCAAUGUGGAUGCACUGCCACUGAACGUUUCACUUGUACUUCUCAAAAGAAAUUUGUAAUUAACCAUGUUUAAUUUGGAUUCUUAAUUUAAUAAGGAUCUAAGAAGCUAAAAAUAUAAUUCAUUUAUAUAAAACUAUUUUUAGGAUACAAAAUAAGAUUAGACAUACUAUUAUUUUGACUCUUUAAAAAUCCAUAUGAUUUAAAUUACUCCUUAUUGUUUGGCUAUUAUUUACAGCCAUACAGUGAAGGCCAAAUUAAAGCCCGGGAAACUGAUUUACAACAGUCAUUUCUUAUUUGAUGAUAAUCUGUGUCCUAUAUAUCUUAAUGUAUUCUUUUAGGCUUGUAUCUGCCUCAGUAUUCACCUUGUUUAUGGACAUAAUCCAUUCUCUCAUGAUGCUAUGACCCCUGAAAAUAUUGUUGGUAAUAUUCUAACUUUCUAACAUAAGAUGAUAUCCAAAAAGAGAUCUCUGGCAUUCAAUUGUUGCCUCAUUUUCCCCGUCCUGCAAAUGGCCC